GGUUAGUCCGCACGGUAAACGAUGGAUGCCCCGCUGUUGGCGAUAUACAGUCAGCGGCCAAGAGAAAUCGUUAAGCAUCCCCACCUGGGGAGUACGCCGGCAACGGUGAAACUCAAAGGAAUUGACGGGGGCCCCGCACAAAGCGGAGGAACAUGUGGUUUAAUUCGAUGAUACGCGAGGAACCUUACCCGGGCUUGAACUGCAGGAGAAGGAUACAGAGAUGUUGACGCCCUUCGGGGCUCCUGUGGAGGUGCUGCAUGGUUGUCGUCAGCUCGUGCCGUGAGGUGUCGGCUUAAGUGCCAUAACGAGCGCAACCCUUUUCGUCAGUUGCCAUCAGGUAAUGCUGGGCACUCUGGCGACACUGCCACCGUAAGGUGUGAGGAAGGUGGGGAUGACGUCAAAUCAGCACGGCCUUGACGGCCGGGGCGACCAAGGUGCGGCAAUGUAGCAUACAGAAGACCGCUGAUGCGCAAGAGCGAUCCAAUCUAACAACUUCCGUCAGUUCGGAGACGGCACUGCAAACCGACGCCAAGAAGCAGAUUCGCUAGU
Molecule: ribosomal RNA, 549 nt
Filed under: uncultured bacterium
Lineage: Bacteria
Description: bacterial SSU rRNA
Rfam family: Bacterial small subunit ribosomal RNA
Source: RNAcentral